ACUCCUACGGGAGGCAGCAGUGGGGAAUAUUGCACAAUGGGCGCAAGCCUGAUGCAGCCAUGCCGCGUGUAUGAAGAAGGCCUUCGGGUUGUAAAGUACUUUCAGCAGUGAGGAAGGCGGAGUCGUUAAUAGCGGCCUCGUUUGACGUUAGCUGCAGAAGAAGCACCGGCUAACUCCGUGCCAGCAGCCGCGGUAAUACGGAGGGUGCGAGCGUUAAUCGGAAUUACUGGGCGUAAAGCGCAUGCAGGUGGUUUGUUAAGUCAGAUGUGAAAGCCCGGGGCUCAACCUCGGAAUUGCAUUUGAAACUGGCAGACUAGAGUACUGUAGAGGGGGGUAGAAUUUCAGGUGUAGCGGUGAAAUGCGUAGAGAUCUGAAGGAAUACCGGUGGCGAAGGCGGCCCCCUGGACAGAUACUGACACUCAGAUGCGAAAGCGUGGGAGCAAACAGGAUUAGA
RNAcentral lists this ribosomal RNA (454 nucleotides) under uncultured bacterium. RNAcentral describes it as "bacterial SSU rRNA". It matches the Rfam family "Bacterial small subunit ribosomal RNA", at positions 335 to 782 of the family's 1533-position model. The record is from RNAcentral.